Sceloporus undulatus (fence lizard) is the source of this 307-nucleotide long non-coding RNA. RefSeq lists it as uncharacterized. The record is from RefSeq and is a predicted model, not a curated record. The transcript has 3 exons. NCBI's taxonomy places the organism in Eukaryota, Metazoa, Chordata, Lepidosauria, Squamata, Phrynosomatidae.
GUUGUGCAAGGCAAUGUGGCUAGAGAGCUGUCCGCUGUGCUUCUGCAGAGACAUAUUGGAUAGAUGACAGAUGUUGCUGUGAGCCCAGAGCAUUAUGAAUAGCUGUUGAAAAUGAAAGAAUGCUCAGCAGUGAAGACCUGCCGAGGUCUCACACCAGUGGGGAACGGAGACAGAGGCUUUGUUUGAUUUGAAGGAGGUGUGUGGUGUGUAUUCCUCUGUCAGCUCAAAGUCCAGGGCUUUGACGUCAACAGGUGGUCAUUAAGAUCACAGCAUCAAUAAAAUUAGAUGCCCUUAAAGUCUACCGAAA